GAGCGCAACUGACGCUGAAGCUCGAAAGUGCGGGUAUCGAACAGGAUUAGAUACCCUGGUAGUCCGCACGGUAAACGAUGGAUGCCCGCUUUUCGGUCAUUAGACCGUGAGGCCAAGUGAAAACAUUAAGCAUCCCACCUGGGGAGUACGCCGGCAACGGUGAAACUCAAAGGAAUUGACGGGGGCCCGCACAAGCGGAGGAACAUGUGGUUUAAUUCGAUGAUACGCGAGGAACCUUACCCGGGCUUGAAUUGCAGAUGAAGGAUCCAGAGAUGGUGACGCCCUUCGGGGCAUCUGUGAAGGUGCUGCAUGGUUGUCGUCAGCUCGUGCCGUGAGGUGUCGGCUCAAGUGCCAUAACGAGCGCAACCCCUCUCUUCAGUUGCCAUCAGGCUAUGCUGGGCACUCUGGAGACACUGCCACCGCAAGGUGUGAGGAAGGUGGGGAUGACGUCAAAUCAGCACGGCCCUUACGUCCGGGGCUACACACGUGUUACAAUGGGGGGUACAGAAAGCCGGCUGCCCGCAAGGUCAGUCCAAUCAAGAAAGCCCUCCUCAGUUCGGACUGGGGUCUGCAACCCGACCCCACGAAGCUGGAUUCGCUA
Molecule: ribosomal RNA, 601 nt
Filed under: uncultured bacterium
Lineage: Bacteria
Description: bacterial SSU rRNA
Rfam family: Bacterial small subunit ribosomal RNA
Source: RNAcentral